CGCGCAGGCGGCCUAUCAAGUCAGGCGUGAAAGCCCCGGGCUUAACCUGGGAAUUGCGCUUGGGACUGACGGGCUAGAGUUCGGGAGAGGAGAGUGGAAUUCCCAGUGUAGAGGUGAAAUUCGUAGAUAUUGGGAAGAACACCGGUGGCGAAGGCGGCUCUCUGGACCGAGACUGACGCUGAGGCGCGAAAGCGUGGGGAGCAAACAGGAUUAGAUACCCUGGUAGUCCACGCUGUAAACGAUGUGCGCUAGACGUUGGGAGGCGUAGCCUUCCGGUGUCGCAGCUAACGCUUUAAGCGCACCGCCUGGGGAGUACGGCCGCAAGGUUAA
RNAcentral lists this ribosomal RNA (330 nucleotides) under uncultured bacterium. Its description in RNAcentral is "bacterial SSU rRNA". It matches the Rfam family "Bacterial small subunit ribosomal RNA", at positions 568 to 897 of the family's 1533-position model. The record is from RNAcentral.